GAAAAGAACUUUGAAGAGAGAGUUCAAGAGUACGUGAAACUGAAGUGGUGUAAACGGACGAGUUCGAAAAGUCCGAAUGGUGAGAUUCAAGCCUACCGCGCCGGUGGCCCUCGGGUUCAGAUGGCGUCGUCAGCUCGGGCUUCGGCUCGGGUCAUACGGCGUCACUCGUCCUGGGGGUAUCUGUCUGGUGCGGUGGGCUGCACUUCUCGCCUAGUAGGACGUCGCGACCCGUUGGGAUCGUUCCGUUCAUUGGCCCUCGGUGGAGCCCGUGCCGGAGCGUGGCCUCGUGCCGCGUUGCCGUUCGCACGGACCCGGGGUGACCUGAUCGGCGCCCGACGGUAUCAAAGCUUGGGAAAGAGGCCGCACAGAGGAUGCGUCCGAUGCCCGUUUCGGGCUACACUCGGACAGGCCUGCACCCGGUCAGCGGCGCUUCUGCUUUCGAUACUCGUCCGACCCGUCUUGAAAC
This 466-nucleotide ribosomal RNA is filed under the name Frankliniella brunnea. RNAcentral describes it as "eukaryotic LSU rRNA". The record is from RNAcentral. Lineage: Eukaryota; Metazoa; Arthropoda; Insecta; Thysanoptera; Thripidae.